Molecule: long non-coding RNA, 410 nt
Organism: Mugil cephalus (flathead mullet)
Lineage: Eukaryota; Metazoa; Chordata; Actinopteri; Mugiliformes; Mugilidae
Exons: 3
Source: RefSeq, a predicted model, not a curated record
AUGAACAGGUGUUGGAUAAUUAACCUGAUUAAUGUUAAGCUAGCAACGUAACUUCGGUCUCAAGUUAACGUUGUUUGUCCUAAGAUGAAAUAACUCGCGACUCCAUGAAGAGGAAAUAAAUGAUAUGUAGAUAUCGAGAGUUAUGUCCAGUCUGCAGCCUAAAGACACUCAGUUCAUCAUAGAAACCAAAGGUGGACACGCAAUGUUUUAUAAUUCAGGCCUGGAACAACAGAGAUGUGGAGAACAUGCUGAUGGAUCACCACAACCAGAGCAACUCAGGACGACACCACGACAAGAACCUGGACAGAUAAACUGUUGAUAUCUCGUCUGUGACGUUGAACGAGUUUAAAUCUCAGAUAUUAAAAAUAAUUAAAUUCACAUAUUUAAUAAAUAAAAGUCAGAAAAAGCUG